RNAcentral lists this ribosomal RNA (1449 nucleotides) under uncultured bacterium. Its description in RNAcentral is "bacterial SSU rRNA". It matches the Rfam family "Bacterial small subunit ribosomal RNA". The record is from RNAcentral.
UAUUGGCGGGCGGGCUUUAACACAUGCAAGUCGAGCGGAGUGAUGGUGCUUGCACUAUCACUUAGCGGCGGACGGGUGAGUAAUGCUUAGGAAUCUGCCUAUUAGUGGGGGACAACAUUUCGAAAGGAAUGCUAAUACCGCAUACGUCCUACGGGAGAAAGCAGGGGAUCUUCGGACCUUGCGCUAAUAGAUGAGCCUAAGUCGGAUUAGCUAGUUGGUGGGGUAAAGGCCUACCAAGGCGACGAUCUGUAGCGGGUCUGAGAGGAUGAUCCGCCACACUGGGACUGAGACACGGCCCAGACUCCUACGGGAGGCAGCAGUGGGGAAUAUUGGACAAUGGGCGCAAGCCUGAUCCAGCCAUGCCGCGUGUGUGAAGAAGGCCUUAUGGUUGUAAAGCACUUUAAGCGAGGAGGAGGCUACUGAAGUUAAUACCUUCAGAUAGUGGACGUUACUCGCAGAAUAAGCACCGGCUAACUCUGUGCCAGCAGCCGCGGUAAUACAGAGGGUGCAAGCGUUAAUCGGAUUUACUGGGCGUAAAGCGCGCGUAGGCGGCUAAUUAAGUCAAAUGUGAAAUCCCCGAGCUUAACUUGGGAAUUGCAUUCGAUACUGGUUAGCUAGAGUGUGGGAGAGGAUGGUAGAAUUCCAGGUGUAGCGGUGAAAUGCGUAGAGAUCUGGAGGAAUACCGAUGGCGAAGGCAGCCAUCUGGCCUAACACUGACGCUGAGGUGCGAAAGCAUGGGGAGCAAACAGGAUUAGAUACCCUGGUAGUCCAUGCCGUAAACGAUGUCUACUAGCCGUUGGGGCCUUUGAGGCUUUAGUGGCGCAGCUAACGCGAUAAGUAGACCGCCUGGGGAGUACGGUCGCAAGACUAAAACUCAAAUGAAUUGACGGGGGCCCGCACAAGCGGUGGAGCAUGUGGUUUAAUUCGAUGCAACGCGAAGAACCUUACCUGGCCUUGACAUAGUAAGAACUUUCCAGAGAUGGAUUGGUGCCUUCGGGAACUUACAUACAGGUGCUGCAUGGCUGUCGUCAGCUCGUGUCGUGAGAUGUUGGGUUAAGUCCCGCAACGAGCGCAACCCUUUUCCUUAUUUGCCAGCGAGUAAUGUCGGGAACUUUAAGGAUACUGCCAGUGACAAACUGGAGGAAGGCGGGGACGACGUCAAGUCAUCAUGGCCCUUACGGCCAGGGCUACACACGUGCUACAAUGGUCGGUACAAAGGGUUGCUACCUAGCGAUAGGAUGCUAAUCUCAAAAAGCCGAUCGUAGUCCGGAUUGGAGUCUGCAACUCGACUCCAUGAAGUCGGAAUCGCUAGUAAUCGCGGAUCAGAAUGCCGCGGUGAAUACGUUCCCGGGCCUUGUACACACCGCCCGUCACACCAUGGGAGUUUGUUGCACCAGAAGUAGGUAGUCUAACCGCAAGGAGGACGCUACCAUCGGUGGCCCGGGUGGU